RNAcentral lists this ribosomal RNA (1372 nucleotides) under uncultured bacterium. RNAcentral's name for it is "bacterial SSU rRNA". It matches the Rfam family "Bacterial small subunit ribosomal RNA", at positions 28 to 1381 of the family's 1533-position model. The record is from RNAcentral.
GAUGAACGCUGGCGGCGUGCCUAAUACAUGCAAGUCGAGCGAACGGACGAGAAGCUUGCUUUUCUGAUGUUAGUGGCGGACGGGUGAGUAACACGUGGAUAACCUACCUAUAAGACUGGGAUAACUUCGGGAAACCGGAGCUAAUACCGGAUAAUAUUUUGAACCGCAUGGUUCAAAAGUGAAAGACGGUCUUGCUGUCACUUAUAGAUGGAUCCGCGCUGCAUUAGCUAGUUGGUAAGGUAACGGCUUACCAAGGCAACGAUGCAUAGCCGACCUGAGAGGGUGAUCGGCCACACUGGAACUGAGACACGGUCCAGACUCCUACGGGAGGCAGCAGUAGGGAAUCUUCCGCAAUGGGCGAAAGCCUGACGGAGCAACGCCGCGUGAGUGAUGAAGGUCUUCGGAUCGUAAAACUCUGUUAUUAGGGAAGAACAUAUGUGUAAGUAACUGUGCACAUCUUGACGGUACCUAAUCAGAAAGCCACGGCUAACUACGUGCCAGCAGCCGCGGUAAUACGUAGGUGGCAAGCGUUAUCCGGAAUUAUUGGGCGUAAAGCGCGCGUAGGCGGUUUUUUAAGUCUGAUGUGAAAGCCCACGGCUCAACCGUGGAGGGUCAUUGGAAACCGGAAAACUUGAGUGCAGAAGAGGAAAGUGGAAUUCCAUGUGUAGCGGUGAAAUGCGCAGAGAUGUGGAGGAACACCAGUGGCGAAGGCGACUUUCUGGUCUGUAACUGACGCUGAUGUGCGAAAGCGUGGGGAUCAAACAGGAUUAGAUACCCUGGUAGUCCACGCCGUAAACGAUGAGUGCUAAGUGUUAGGGGGUUUCCGCCCCUUAGUGCUGCAGCUAACGCAUUAAGCACUCCGCCUGGGGAGUACGACCGCAAGGUUGAAACUCAAAGGAAUUGACGGGGGCCCGCACAAGCGGUGGAGCAUGUGGUUUAAUUCGAAGCAACGCGAAGAACCUUACCAAAUCUUGACAUCCUUUGACAACUCUAGAGAUAGAGCCUUCCCCUUCGGGGGACAAAGUGACAGGUGGUGCAUGGUUGUCGUCAGCUCGUGUCGUGAGAUGUUGGGUUAAGUCCCGCAACGAGCGCAACCCUUAAGCUUAGUUGCCAUCAUUAAGUUGGGCACUCUAAGUUGACUGCCGGUGACAAACCGGAGGAAGGUGGGGAUGACGUCAAAUCAUCAUGCCCCUUAUGAUUUGGGCUACACACGUGCUACAAUGGACAAUACAAAGGGCAGCGAAACCGCGAGGUCAAGCAAAUCCCAUAAAGUUGUUCUCAGUUCGGAUUGUAGUCUGCAACUCGACUACAUGAAGCUGGAAUCGCUAGUAAUCGUAGAUCAGCAUGCUACGGUGAAUACGUUCCCGGGUCU